GGGCGGGUAGCCUAGUGGUUAGAGGGGGCAGGUAGCCUAGUGGUUAGAGGGGGCGGGUAGCCUAGUGGUUAGAGGGGGCAGGUAGCCUAGUGGUUAGAGGGGGCAGGUAGCCUAGUGGUUAGAUGGGGCAGGUAGCCUAGUGGUUAGAGGGGGCAGGUAGCCUAGUGGUUAGAGCGUUGGACUAGUAACCGAAAGGUUGCUGGAUUGAAUCCCCGAGCUGACAAGGUAAAAGUUUGUUAUUCUGCCCCUGAACAAGGCAGUUAACCCACUGUUCCUAGGCCGUCAUUGUAAAUAAGAAUUUGUUCUUAACCGACUUGCCUAGUUAAAUAAAGGUUCAAUAAACAUUUUUUUUUAUAACUUGUGUCACUGUGACUCAUAAACACACCUUGACAUUCCUCUGCUGACAUCAUUAUUAAAGGAUGUUGACACUUGAAGAGCGAUGAGGUUAAUCUUUCACCACCACCACCACCCUCUUCAGUGUCGAGUCAUGAGAACAUGGUUUCACACUCCCUGACUGGCUGGAUUUCAACUUACUGAUGCUGUUACCACGGUGAUAGGACGGUUAGGAAGUCAGUAUAACAGGAAAACACACCAACCCAAAAAAAUGGUUGUCACUAG
This is a long non-coding RNA of Oncorhynchus tshawytscha (Chinook salmon), 618 nucleotides long. The record is from Ensembl. NCBI's taxonomy places the organism in Eukaryota, Metazoa, Chordata, Actinopteri, Salmoniformes, Salmonidae.